RNAcentral lists this transfer RNA (75 nucleotides) under Paenibacillus sp. F411. RNAcentral describes it as "tRNA-Gly". It matches the Rfam family "tRNA". Rfam says of the family: Transfer RNA (tRNA) molecules are approximately 80 nucleotides in length. Their secondary structure includes four short double-helical elements and three loops (D, anti-codon, and T loops). Further hydrogen bonds mediate the characteristic L-shaped molecular structure. tRNAs have two regions of fundamental functional importance: the anti-codon, which is responsible for specific mRNA codon recognition, and the 3' end, to which the tRNAs corresponding amino acid is attached (by aminoacyl-tRNA synthetases). tRNAs cope with the degeneracy of the genetic code in two manners: having more than one tRNA (with a specific anti-codon) for a particular amino acid; and 'wobble' base-pairing, i.e. permitting non-standard base-pairing at the 3rd anti-codon position. The record is from RNAcentral. Lineage: Bacteria; Bacillati; Bacillota; Bacilli; Caryophanales; Paenibacillaceae.
GCGUCUUUGACUCAGCGGUAGAGCAUCGCCUUGCCAAGGCGAGGGUCGCGGGUUCGAUUCCCGUCGUCCGCUCCA